Molecule: ribosomal RNA, 391 nt
Filed under: uncultured bacterium
Lineage: Bacteria
Description: bacterial SSU rRNA
Rfam family: Bacterial small subunit ribosomal RNA
Source: RNAcentral
AUUGAACGCUGGCGGCAUGCUUUACACAUGCAAGUCGAACGGGGUGAAGGGGCAACUCUUCAUUCAGUGGCGAACGGGUGAGUAAUGCAUCGGAACGUACCUCGUAGUGGGGGAUAACUCGGCGAAAGCCGUGCUAAUACCGCAUAUGCUCUACGGAGGAAAGCAGGGGACCUGAGAGGGCCUUGUGCUAUGGGAGCGGCCGAUGUCCGAUUAGCUAGUUGGUGGGGUAANGGCCUACCAAGGCGACGAUCGGUAGCUGGUCUGAGAGGAUGAUCAGCCACACUGGGACUGAGACACGGCCCAGACUCCUACGGGAGGCAGCAGUGGGGAAUUUUGGACAAUGGGGGCAACCCUGAUCCAGCCAUGCCGCGUGCGGGAAGAAGGCCUGGUU